AAAUCGAUGAAGAACGCAGCGAAAUGCGAUAAGUAAUGUGAAUUGCAGAAUUCAGUGAAUCUUCAACUCCAUUGAACGCACCUUGCGCUCCUUGGUAUUCCGAGGAGCAUGCCUGUUUGAGUGUCAUGA
RNAcentral lists this ribosomal RNA (129 nucleotides) under Ganoderma sp. GanO-13. Its description in RNAcentral is "partial 5.8S ribosomal RNA". It matches the Rfam family "5.8S ribosomal RNA", at positions 32 to 154 of the family's 154-position model. Rfam says of the family: 5.8S ribosomal RNA (5.8S rRNA) is a component of the large subunit of the eukaryotic ribosome. It is transcribed by RNA polymerase I as part of the 45S precursor that also contains 18S and 28S rRNA. The record is from RNAcentral. Lineage: Eukaryota; Fungi; Basidiomycota; Agaricomycetes; Polyporales; Polyporaceae.